RNAcentral lists this ribosomal RNA (253 nucleotides) under uncultured bacterium. Its description in RNAcentral is "partial 16S ribosomal RNA". It matches the Rfam family "Bacterial small subunit ribosomal RNA", at positions 524 to 776 of the family's 1533-position model. The record is from RNAcentral.
UACGUAGGGUGCAAGCGUUGUCCGGAAUUAUUGGGCGUAAAGAGCUCGUAGGCGGUCUGUCACGUCGGCUGUGAAAUCCCGAGGCUCAACCUCGGGCCUGCAGUCGAUACGGGCAGACUAGAGUUCGGUGGGGGAGACUGGAAUUCCUGGUGUAGCGGUGAAAUGCGCAGAUAUCAGGAGGAACACCGGUGGCGAAGGCGGGUCUCUGGGCCGAAACUGACGCUGAGGAGCGAAAGCGUGGGGAGCGAACAGG